This 915-nucleotide ribosomal RNA is filed under the name uncultured Mycoplasma sp. RNAcentral's name for it is "bacterial SSU rRNA". It matches the Rfam family "Bacterial small subunit ribosomal RNA", at positions 60 to 1005 of the family's 1533-position model. The record is from RNAcentral. Lineage: Bacteria; Bacillati; Mycoplasmatota; Mollicutes; Mycoplasmatales; Mycoplasmataceae.
AGUCGAGCGAAGUCUCUCGGGACUUAGCGGCGAACGGGUGAGUAAUACAUAUUUAACAUACCCCACAGAAGGAAAUAGCCACUUGAAAAAGCGAUUAAUGUCCUAUAGUACCCUUGAUCACAAGAACUAGGGUUUAAAGGUGCAAACCGCUGCGGGAUUGGAAUAUGUUCUAUUAGCUUGUUGGUGAGGUAAAAGCUCACCAAGGCGAUGAUAGAUAGUUGGUCUUAGAGGAUGAACAGCCACAAUGGGAUUGAGAUACGGCCCAUAUUCCUACGGGAAGCAGCAGUAGGGAAUCUUCCACAAUGGACGAAAGUCUGAUGGAGCAAUGCCAUGUGAACGAUGAAGGUCAUAAAGAUCGUAAAGUUCUUUUAGGGGGGAAAACUCUGAUGGUACCUCCUGAAUAAGUGACAGCAAACUAUGUGCCAGCAGCUGCGGUAAUACAUAGGUCGCGAGCGUUAUUCGGAUUUAUUGGGCGUAAAGCAAGCGCAGGCGGAUUGAUAAGUUCUGUAUUAAAAGCAGCUGCUCAACAGUUGUUUGUACCGAAUACUGUCAGUCUAGAAUUUGGUAGGAAGUUUUGGAAUUAAACAUGGAGCGGUGGAAUGUGUAGAUAUGUUUAAGAACACCAGAGGCGAAGGCGAAAACUUAGGCCAUAAUUGACGCUUAGGCUUGAAAGUGUGGGUAGCAAAUGGGAUUAGAUACCCCAGUAGUCCACACCGUAAACGAUGGGUAUUAGAUGUUGGGACUUGUGUCUCAGUGUCGUAGCUUACGUGUUAAAUACCCCGCCUGGGUAGUACAUAUGCAAAUAUGAAACUCAAAGGAAUUGACGGGGACCUGAACAAGUGGUGGAACAUGUUGCUUAAUUCGAUAAUACACGAAAAACCUUACCAAGGUUUGACAUCCCCAGCGAAGGAAGAA